CAGUUAGAAAUGUCCAGCCCUAAUGGCUGCAUUCUGAUACUUUCCUGGAGGGGCACCAUCUCACCUGGGAGGGAAUAGAGUAGACAUGCUCCAUGAAUUCCUCAAAAGCUUCCUUUCAAAUGUAGACAAAACCAAACAGACAGAGAAACCUACUAAUAACAGGCAAUCUCAGUUACAGAGACACUGGAAUUUUUCAUUUGCCUUCCCAGAGUGCCGGUCUUUGUUCCGAUAACUUGGUAUUUUACAAAAAGUCCAAUUCUUGGUAAUUUAAAGCUAGGAAAUUAAUGGGAAAUCAGAAAGCCAAUGAGCAUUUACAGGUAGAAAAAGCAAACUGUGAUUACCUGGUCUCUGAGGAGCUAAUUACAGGUUCAGUUGAAAACGGGAGGACCAUGAGAACCAUGUGCGUGUGCACACACACAAACACACUCCACACCCCCGCAACGCAAAUGCACUCCAUGCCCACACAAAUACACACAGACAAACGCACCCUACAUCCACACAUAUAUACACACAAAUGCACCCCAUGCCCCCACAACACAAAUGCACCAAACUCCCACACAUACACAUAGAUACACACAAAUGCACCCCACGCCCACACAUACACACACACAGAAAUGCACCCCACACCCACACAUACACACACACAAAUGCACCCCAUGCCCACACAUACACAUACACAUACACACACACACAAAUAGACCCCACACCCACACAUACACACACAAAUGCACCCCAUGCCCACACAUGCACAUACACACACACACACACAAAUGCACCCCACACCCACACAUACACAUAGACACACACAAAUAUACCCCACACCCACACAUACACACACAAUUGCACCCUAUGCCCCCCAAGACAAAUGCACCCAACUCCCACACAUACACAUAGAUACACACAAAUAUACCCCACGCCCACACACACACACACAAAUGCACCCCAUAUCCACACAUACACAUGCACAGAAAUGCACCCCAUACCCAAACACACAAAUGCACCCCACACCCACACAUACACUUACACACACACAAAUGCACCCCAUGCCCACACACACACACAAAUGCACCCCACACCCACACAUACACUCACACACAAAUGCACCCCAUGCCCACACACACACACACAAAUGCACCCCACACCCAUACACAAACACAAAUGCACCCCACACCCCAAUAUACACAUACACGCACAAAUGCACCCCACGCCCACACAUACAUAUACACACACAAAUGCACCCCAAGCCCAAUACAAAUGCACCCCAUGCCCACAAAUACAAUCACACACACACACACAUAUGCACCCCACACCCACACACACGCACACAAAUGCACCCCACACCCAAAUAUAUAGAUACACACACACACACAAAUGUACUCCAAGCCCACACUUACACACACACACAAAUGCACCCCACGCCCACACAGACACACACACACAAAUGCAUCCCAUGCCCACACAUACACUCACAUACACACAAAUGCACCCCAGGCCCACACAUACGCACACAAAUGCACCCCACAUCCCAACAUAUGCACACACACACAAAUGCACUCCAAACCCACACAUACACAAUCACACACAUACAAAUGCAUCCCACACCCACAUAUACACACACAAAUGCACUCAAAGUCCACAUACACACACACACACACAAAUGCACCCCACACUCACACAUACACAUACACUCACAAAUGCACCCCAUACCCACCCAUAUACAUACACACACAAAUGCACCCCACACAUACACAUACACUCACAAAUGCGCCCCAUACCCACCCAUAUACAUACAAACACAAACGCACCCCAUACCCACACAUACACAUACAAAUGCACCCCAUGCCCACACAUACAUACACACACACACACACACGCACGUGCGCACACACAAAACCCUUCCAGCCUGUGCCCACCUCCA
RNAcentral lists this long non-coding RNA (1918 nucleotides) under Homo sapiens (human). RNAcentral describes it as "non-protein coding lnc-EEF2KMT-10:1". The record is from RNAcentral. Lineage: Eukaryota; Metazoa; Chordata; Mammalia; Primates; Hominidae.